AACGCCCAAGCCAUAGUUCCAAUU
This 24-nucleotide unclassified non-coding RNA is filed under the name Mus musculus (house mouse). Its description in RNAcentral is "oocyte_clustered_small_RNA2171". Lineage: Eukaryota; Metazoa; Chordata; Mammalia; Rodentia; Muridae. The record is from RNAcentral.